GAGUUUGAUUCUGGCUCAGAGUGAACGCUGGCGGCGUGCCUAAUACAUGCAAGUCGAACGGAGAUAUGAGGGCUUGCUCUUAUAUCUUAGUGGCGCACGGGUGAGUAAUGUAUAGCUAAUCUGCCCUACACUAGAGGACAACAGUUGGAAACGACUGCUAAUACUCUAUACUCCUUCUUUACAUAAGUUAAGUCGGGAAAGUUUUUCGGUGUAGGAUGAGGCUAUAUCGUAUCAGCUAGUUGGUGAGGUAAUGGCUUACCAAGGCUAUGACGCGUAACUGGUCUGAGAGGAUGAUCAGUCACACUGGAACUGAGACACGGUCCAGACUCCUACGGGAGGCAGCAGUAGGGAAUAUUGCUCAAUGGGGGAAACCCUGAAGCAGCAACGCCGCGUGGAGGAUGACACUUUUCGGAGCGUAAACUCCUUUUCUUGGGAAAGAAGG
Molecule: ribosomal RNA, 442 nt
Filed under: Campylobacter sp. canine oral taxon 011
Lineage: Bacteria; Pseudomonadati; Campylobacterota; Epsilonproteobacteria; Campylobacterales; Campylobacteraceae
Description: bacterial SSU rRNA
Rfam family: Bacterial small subunit ribosomal RNA
Source: RNAcentral